RNAcentral lists this long non-coding RNA (3159 nucleotides) under Lathyrus oleraceus (garden pea). RNAcentral's name for it is "Pisum sativum (pea) long non-coding RNA (PSAT_LNC041148)". The record is from RNAcentral. Lineage: Eukaryota; Viridiplantae; Streptophyta; Magnoliopsida; Fabales; Fabaceae.
UUGAAAAAUAAUUAUCCAACUUUUAUAAGAUUAUAUUUUAUUUUAGAAAAAUAUUUUCCUUUUAAACAAUUGUAUUAUUACAUAUUAUUUUUAUUCUUACAUGAUUAUUUCCUCACAAUACUAAUUUACUCAGUUUGCAAUCCGAGGGAUUACACUAGGAGUAGUAUUAUCUAAAGAUGAUGAUUCAAUACACAACAUCUACCGCGAAUACAUUGCCCUUUUUUUCCAGGACAUCCAGGUUGACAAUCCAUCUGAUUUACAAGGUCCGUCAAGUUCUCUUCCUUCUGAUUUCUUACACAUAUCUGCAAGCAAUAUUUCUUCAAAACAUAAAAUAAUAUCGUAUGUAAACAAAGAAUAAUUCAAAAUGUAAAUUUGUUAGAAGUUAAACAUCCUUUUAGAAGCAGGUGAUUUAUUCAUUUUAUCAUUAGUUCCAAACCUGAUGUUAAGAUGCAGAAAGCAAAAGUAUAUCAUUAUAAGAGCAGACAUUUUGUAGUAUCCAUCUUUUUAAUAUAACAUAUGAUAUGACACAUAUAUCUGUUACUUAUAUAUGCAUAUGGUGGACUACAUUCUGACUGUAUUAUUACUUCAAAUUGAUUUCUUAAUUCAAAAGUAAAUUCAAUUCUAUGUAAGAUAAGAAAAAUAUACAUUUUUUGACCAAUAUAAAAUAUACCUUAAAAAUUGCAAUAAAUAUAUUAUAUUUAAUCAAUUUAAAGAAUAAACUAAUAAUAAAUAUUCUUAAUUAAAAUAUAAAUAACAAGUUCAAUGUAACUUUUGUUAAUCAUAUAUCACUUUUAAAAAAUAUUGAGAAGGAUAAAGAAAGUUUAUUAGCGGGAGAAAAGCUCAACUUGAUUGGGUUAGUUGAAUACAAGAUAUGGAGUUUAGGGUUCAAGCCUUCAUUAAAGCAUUUGUUAGUAUUUCAUAUAAAGUGUUAACGAAACAAGAUGUCAAUAUUCAUGAAUUAAAUAUUUUUUAUAAAAAUAAAUGAUAAUUUAUAUUAUUCAGUGACAUAAACGGCCAUUUUACAAAUAUUUCUGUUAAUUUGAAAUGUGAGACCUUAAAAUUACAAGAAUAAAACUCUUACGGCUGAAGUAGAAAAUAAACAUUAGAUUGACCUCUUUAUUUCAAGAGAUUAAUUACUAUACACUAUCAGUGUAAAAAGUUUUACACCGUCGAUUCUUCACCAUCAUCCGUUUGUAUUAUUUUAUAGAUUUUUAAAAUAAAUCAGUCUUCUUUUAAUAUCCGACGUCUAUGAUUAACUGACGUGUUAAAAUCCUUUUACAGUGUCAGUAUAUUUCAAUUAAACUCUUAUUUCAAUUAUGAUUUCAUAGAUUUUUUAAAAUGAUAGUAUUUAGUUUUAAAAUUUUGACUUAAUUUUUUACAGGAUAAUUGUAAAAUACUUAUAGGUUUCAUUAAAUUAAUUAUCUUGUUCGUUAAUAUAGGUUCUUGAUUAACAAAUUGCAGGAUUUAGAUCUUUGAUAGAAGUAAAUUUGUUAUUAUAUUUAUUGAUAAUAAUAUUUUUAACAUAUGAUAAAUAUAAUAACUUUUGAACUUUUCCUAUUUUUUCAUUAUAAAGUUAGUUAUUGUUUUAUUUCAAAAAUAAUAUAAAUUUUUAUUAGCACAUGAAUAUUUGUUGUUUUAUUUUUGAAAGACAUUAUUUUUAUUGUUGUUAUAUUUAACUUUUUUUAAGCAGACGGAAAGGCAAAGUGAUCUUCAACAACCUAACUAGAUUAAAAUAAAGAAGAAAAGUACAAAAAUUGAGAGACAUAAAACUAAAUCAAUUUUAAUAAAAAAUAAACAACUAAAAUGGGUUUUAUAAAACAUGUUAAAAUAGUAAUUAAACAUAAAUUUUAAUCAAGAGAUAUCAGUCGUGCACAACUUAUAUUAACCUAACAAAUUAGAAUUCGGAGCAACCCAACUUCCAAAAUUGAAUGACGAACUUUUGUUGUUGUUGUUGUUGUUAUCUUUAACUUAUUUUUAAGCAAGCGGAAGGUAGAGUGAUCUUCGACAAAAUACGUUAUACGAGAUAUUAAUUUGGUACUGAUACAACACAAGUGCCUAGCGAUAUCAUUAUAUGUAUGUCACAUAAACUAAAAAAAGGCAGUAAGGCACAUACCAUACAAUGGUGCCUAAAUAAAAAUUAAAAUCUAUAUGCAACAUCUUCAUGUGCUCACAAUCCACAUCGGAGAAUCACAUAACUCCCAAUCUUUGAAACAUCAAGAAACAAUCAUGCAUAACUUGUACAAACCAAUAAAUUAGAAUUGAGGCGCAAAAUUUAAUUACCAAAAAAUUAGAUUUUUUAGCUGAAUAGCACGAGACUCUGAACUUUUAGUGUUUCUAUUGAACUCGGUUGUAAAUACAAUAAAGAAUCAUGACACCCAGUUGAAACUAUUUAAAACCAGUUUUUCAUUUAAAAUUAUAUAAAAAAAUCAUGAAUUUUUAGACUUACUCGUCUUGCUCAAUUAUUAUCUAUUUGUAUUAUAGCAUAUUUCCAUGGGUGUUCUAUAUAUGGAUCCAUAUUGUAAUUAUUUCACUAUUAUAUAUUAUAGAAUCUAAAUAUGGUAAAUAUUUUUUAAUAUCUUUAAUAAUGUAUUGAAAUUCAUAUAAUAAAAAUAAUAAUAUAAAUAUUUUUUUCAAAAUGAAAAGAAACAAAAAAGAUAAAUAAAUUGAAAAAUAAUUAUCCAACUUUUAUAAGAUUAUAUUUUAUUUUAGAAAAUAUUUCCUUUUAAACAAUUGUAUUUAUACAUAUUAUUUUUAUUCUUACAUGAUUAUUUCCUCACAAUACUAAUUACUCAGUUUGCAAUCCGAGGGAUUACACUAGGAGUAGUAUUAUCUAAAGAUGAUGAUUCAAUACACCAACAAUCUUACCGCGAAUACAUUGCCUUUUUUUUCCAGGACACCAGGUUGACAAUCUCCAUCUGAUUUACAGGUCCGUCAAGUUCUCUUCCUUCUGAUUUCUUACACAUAUCUGCAAGCAAAUAUUUCUUCAAAACAUAAGAAUAAUAUCGUAUGUAAACAAAGAAUAAUUCAAAAUGUAAAUUUGUUAGAAGUUAAACAUCCUUUUAGAAAGCAGGUGAUUUAUUCAUUUUAUCAUUAGUUCCAAACCUGAUGUUAAGAUGCAGAAAGCAAAAAGAUAUAUCAUUAUAAGAGCAGACAUCUUGU